CAGAGGCACCGGAGUGGGCGGAGCUGGGUUGCUAUGACAGUGACGUCAAUGUUGGUGUCGAGUAACCAAAGGUCAAAAUAAAGACAAGUGAAUGAAAACGGAAGGAAACUUAACGGGCUGUUCAGAAGAGAGCAAAAACACGGGCAAAUCCGGCCAAACUCCACACGGCACAGCUCGUGGACGUCAUGCCGUGCGAGAAUCGGCGUUUAAGUGUGCGGUGCUGAUUAGGACGUCUGGUGUUUUCCCAAGGUUGAAGGAGACUCCGGAGAAUGUUCCCAAAGAAUGGAUUCUCUGAAGUCAUCGUCGGCUUCCUCAAAUAGUCAAUGUGUGACCUUGUCAACUGCGUGUGAUUAUGUUUUGUUUGUGUUUCCAACUGUCACCUGCCCCUAUAAAGUUGACACCUGCAGGUAAACGCCCACAUCUUGACUACUUGACAAAGUACGUCUCAGCUUUUCCGAACGUCAGACUUCAGUUUCUUCAUUACUCGUUGACCGUAACCUGCGGCCCUCAGGUAGUUUGAGGCUGUAAACAUCCCCGACUGGAAGCUGUCUAUCUGUAGGGCUUUCAGUCUGAUGUUUGCUGCCUCCGACUGACCUCCAGCCUCACUGCACCGGACAAAUGUGUGCUCUCUGAUUUUUUUUUUUUUUGUUUUUUUUUUGGAUCUGCUCGUAUUGAUGUCCACGACCCUUUGACGACACCGUACCUUCAUCGCCUGCGUCCUCGGUAACAGACUCAGUUGGUGUAAACAUCCUACACUCAGCUGUAGUGAACUGCAGCAGAGGCUGAGAGAAGGUUGUUUACUUGAACUGGCUGGAAGUGACACACAUUGAUGGUCUUUUCCACAAGAAAACAAAAGGACACAUUUUUAAAAAUAUUCUGCUGACUGUUUAGAAUAGACAUGUUUACAAUAAAGAUGGAAAAAUGAGGUAAAAAAGCAUUGUUUUUUAAAUAAAGACAGUUUCAUGAAA
Long non-coding RNA from Cynoglossus semilaevis (tongue sole), 968 nucleotides. RefSeq lists it as uncharacterized. Lineage: Eukaryota; Metazoa; Chordata; Actinopteri; Pleuronectiformes; Cynoglossidae. The record is from RefSeq and is a predicted model, not a curated record. The transcript is spliced from 2 exons.